This 1032-nucleotide ribosomal RNA is filed under the name uncultured Chryseobacterium sp. RNAcentral's name for it is "bacterial SSU rRNA". It matches the Rfam family "Bacterial small subunit ribosomal RNA", at positions 63 to 1101 of the family's 1533-position model. Lineage: Bacteria; Pseudomonadati; Bacteroidota; Flavobacteriia; Flavobacteriales; Weeksellaceae. The record is from RNAcentral.
CGAGCGGUAGAAGUCCUUCGGGACUUUGAGAGCGGCGUACGGGUGCGUAACACGUGUGCAACCUACCUUUAUCUGGGGAAUAGCCUUUCGAAAGGAAGAUUAACACCCCAUAAUAUAAUGAUUGGCAUCAAUUAUUAUUGAAAACUCCGGUGGAUAGAGAUGGGCACGCGCAAGAUUAGAUAGUUGGUGAGGUAACGGCUCACCAAGUCUGUGAUCUUUAGGGGUCCUGAGAGGGAGAUCCCCCACACUGGUACUGAGACACGGACCAGACUCCUACGGGAGGCAGCAGUGAGGAAUAUUGGACAAUGGGUGAAAGCCUGAUCCAGCCAUCCCGCGUGAAGGAUGACGGUCCUAUGGAUUGUAAACUUCUUUUGUACAGGAAUAAACCUACUCUCGUGAGAGUAGCUGAAGGUACUGUACGAAUAAGCACCGGCUAACUCCGUGCCAGCAGCCGCGGUAAUACGGAGGGUGCAAGCGUUAUCCGGAUUUAUUGGGUUUAAAGGGUCCGUAGGCGGGCCUGCAAGUCAGUGGUGAAAUCUCAUAGCUUAACUAUGAAACUGCCAUUGAUACUGCAGGUCUUGAGUAAAUUUGAAGUGGCUGGAAUAAGUAGUGUAGCGGUGAAAUGCAUAGAUAUUACUUAGAACACCAAUUGCGAAGGCAGGUCACUAAGAUUUAACUGACGCUGAUGGACGAAAGCGUGGGUAGCGAACAGGAUUAGAUACCCUGGUAGUCCACGCCGUAAACGAUGCUAACUCGUUUUUGGAUCUUCGGAUUCAGAGACCAAGCGAAAGUGAUAAGUUAGCCACCUGGGGAGUACGUUCGCAAGAAUGAAACUCAAAGGAAUUGACGGGGGCCCGCACAAGCGGUGGAUUAUGUGGUUUAAUUCGAUGAUACGCGAGGAACCUUACCAAGGCUUAAAUGGGAAUUGACAGGCUCAGAAAUGUGCUUUUCUUCGGACAAUUUUCAAGGUGCUGCAUGGUUGUCGUCAGCUCGUGCCGUGAGGUGUUAGGUUAAGUCCUGCAACGAGCGCAA